Molecule: long non-coding RNA, 489 nt
Organism: Bombus huntii
Lineage: Eukaryota; Metazoa; Arthropoda; Insecta; Hymenoptera; Apidae
Exons: 2
Source: RefSeq, a predicted model, not a curated record
AAGAAAGAAGGAAUAUUAUAUUAGCGGCAUUUUUGUAGCCAUUAUAUAUGGUUUCGAUGGCAUAAUUAAUCAGUAUCAACUUACCAGUUUUUAACGGAAGGACAGAAAGAAGAGCACACGGCACACAGACCGCAAUCAUGAUCAUUUUCAAGUAGAAUCUCAAACUGCCGUACAUCUUCGAAAACUUCGUUAGUCGUAAGGGAUCAAAGGAUGAUGUCCGUGCUGCGGAAAAUAGAUGAGAAGCGGCUAUUUCAACAACCACCGUGUGUAUUCUGUGCGGCUAAAGCAGUCACCUAAUGAAUUAUUGAGUACCAGGAAUGUUAGCGGUAAACAGGAUUGCGGCUAUGAAUGAUUCUCUAAUGUCUAUAUUAGAGAUGAAUUUGAUAAUUUAUCCUCAUAAUAUGCAAUCCGCUUUUAAGUGGAAAUCAUAAUUAACAAUUUCUGUUUGAUUAAAUAUGAAGAGCAGAUAAAUCGAUACGCUUAAAUCAA